UGGGCUAUAGCCAAGUGGUAAGGCAACGGACUUUGACUCCGUCAUUCGUUGGUUCGAAUCCAGCUAGCCCAGUCA
Molecule: transfer RNA, 75 nt
Filed under: Jeotgalibacillus soli
Lineage: Bacteria; Bacillati; Bacillota; Bacilli; Caryophanales; Caryophanaceae
Description: tRNA-Gln
Rfam family: tRNA
About the family: Transfer RNA (tRNA) molecules are approximately 80 nucleotides in length.
Source: RNAcentral